Molecule: transfer RNA, 77 nt
Filed under: Oribacterium sinus F0268
Lineage: Bacteria; Bacillati; Bacillota; Clostridia; Lachnospirales; Lachnospiraceae
Also listed under: 2 other names
Description: tRNA-Asp
Rfam family: tRNA
About the family: Transfer RNA (tRNA) molecules are approximately 80 nucleotides in length.
Source: RNAcentral
GGCCCGGUGGCUCAGUUGGUUAGAGCGCCGCCCUGUCACGGCGGAGGUCGACGGUUCGAAUCCGUUCCGGGUCGCUA